UACGUAGGGCGCAAGCGUUAUCCGGAAUUAUUGGGCGUAAAGAGCUCGUAGGCGGUUUGUCGCGUCUGCCGUGAAAGUCCGGGGCUCAACUCCGGAUCUGCGGUGGGUACGGGCAGACUAGAGUGCGGUAGGGGAGACUGGAAUUCCUGGUGUAGCGGUGAAAUGCGCAGAUAUCAGGAGGAACACCGGUGGCGAAGGCGGGUCUCUGGGCCGUAACUGACGCUGAGGAGCGAAAGCGUGGGGAGCGAACAGG
RNAcentral lists this ribosomal RNA (253 nucleotides) under uncultured bacterium. Its description in RNAcentral is "partial 16S ribosomal RNA". It matches the Rfam family "Bacterial small subunit ribosomal RNA", at positions 524 to 776 of the family's 1533-position model. The record is from RNAcentral.